RNAcentral lists this transfer RNA (59 nucleotides) under Perkinsiella saccharicida. RNAcentral's name for it is "tRNA-Ser". Lineage: Eukaryota; Metazoa; Arthropoda; Insecta; Hemiptera; Delphacidae. The record is from RNAcentral.
AAGUUAAAUAAUAGUAUGUCUUGAAAACAUAAUUCUGAAAUUAAUUUUUUAUUAACUUU